This 2323-nucleotide long non-coding RNA is filed under the name Taeniopygia guttata (zebra finch). RNAcentral describes it as "lncRNA (ENSTGUG00000020065.1)". The stretch from base 647 to 920 matches the Rfam family "SOX2 overlapping transcript exon 3". The record is from RNAcentral. Lineage: Eukaryota; Metazoa; Chordata; Aves; Passeriformes; Estrildidae.
GCUUUUAAAGCUGGGCCUUGGUGGGACUCUAAAUGCAGUGAAAGCAGUCUGUGUUGAGAGAUUGAAAUGCAUUUCAAAGCCAGGCCUGAGUCAGGGUACAGGGAAGAAAAAACCUAUGUGCAUUUUAUAAGAAGAAAAACCUGAAUGGGAAGGGGAAAAGAGAGAGAGGAAAAAAUCUGGAUAAUACAUUAAUCAUUAUUUUGGAAAUUGUCUUCCUUCCUGACACAUACUGCGUAACUAGUGAUUGAGAACUUGGAUUUUUGUUCUAUUAUAGGCAUCUCAACAUUUGUCUGUGCUGCUUUAAAGUUUGAGAGGCAAGGAUCCUUGAACACUGCUGGACUAUGUUUUAAAUGUGUAUAUAUAUUUUUUCAACUUUGCUUUUUGUGGUUCUUUUUCCUUUUUUUUUUUAACCAUGCCUGUGAAGUAUUAUGAGGAAAAAUACUUGCAGGAAAGCUGAAUUUAUUCUUUUUGGCAUGCUAAUAUUUAUUUUUAUUGUUUUUCUGCUUACCAGAUUUCCUAGGGGUAAUUAUUUCCCACUGACUCAGACCACAGGACAGUGUGAGCACGUAACAAAUAGUGUGAGUCUGAUAUGGAGAAUAUGCCAAGUCAACUGGAUGAGUCAGCACAGGCAGCACAAUGGACUGCAGUUAAGAGCUAGGGCUAGGACUUGGAGGAUGUGUAGGCAAAACGGAAAGAGAGCCGGGGGAAGAAAAACCGAAAUGGAUUCAUUCUCUGUCCUGGAUGGAGGAGGAGAGGAGAAGAGAAGAGAAGGGGACGUGCGAGCUUCCUUCAACUGCCUCUGUCCGGUGAAAAGUGCUCAGACCCCCGGGGCUGCGCCGGACUCCGGAGUCCGCGCGGACUUUCGCGCUGAGCUGCCAAUCAAACCGCUCACAGCCACCACCCUGCUCUGGCACCGACAUGGUCUGUGUGAUCUCCUCCAGGAGAGGCGACUCAGCAGCUCGGUCCCCUCUGCCAUCUCAGCACUGCCAGGGGAGCAGCCCAGGAGGAGCAGAGCAGUGGCUGAGCAGCAAUUUGAAUAUCCAUAUUUAACUCUUCAAACAACAGAAGAUACUUCAGAACCAUGUUAAGAAGGAUAAGCUUGGAGUGCCCAGUCACCGUGGUAACUGCCAGAAAAAUUCUCCUGAAGUUUGAAGAGCAGCCUGAUGAUGCAGGGCGAGGAGUGCCCAGCGACCUUUGUGUGCUCAAGGCACAGCUUUAUCCUGGCCUUCCGUGGGACAGUGCACAUGGAAAUGUGUGAUCUAUUCCUUCCUGAGCUCCAGUCAUGCCUUGCUUUGCAGUUCCUCUCGCUGGUUCUCAUAUCCUGGCAAGAUGCUACAAACCCCACAUGACAAAGAUUAGAAGGAAAUACUUAUUUGAAGAAAUCUCUGUCAUUAGCUGUGCUGAGGUAAUUCAAGAGGAAAAAAAGCUAUAAAAGGAAACAGCAAAUUUGAGCAUCGGUGUGCACACCGCUGUGUGUCCUGGUACCUCUGCUGGGACACUGGCUCUCAGGAGGAGUUUCAGUGACAGGUGAACACGCAACUUUCAGUUGCAUCCACACACGGCGUGUUUGCUCCCGCAGCUCUGCCAGGGCUGAGGAGGGAGGGCAGCUCCGGGUGCUGGAAUUGCCGAGCUCCAGCCCAUCCCCCGGCCUCUGUGAAACUGCACAAAGCCUCCCCUAAACGUGAAUUUAAAACGCUUUCAAAUUGACAACCUCCUUUUAAAUAAAAACAUUUAUGUUAAGCGAAAGGCAUGUUUGCCUCUACAAAUAAAUGGAAUUAUGGUUCUAAGACCUGACUUAAUCCUGAAGUUCUUAGACUGCACAGUAAGUAGAAAAGAAAGAGCAUUGUUUGGAGGAGCAGGGGUUAGCAGGAUCAGGCUCCAUCUUACAUCUUCCUCCUCAUUUUCCUUCUGGCAUUUCAUACACCUUUCUCAGAACUACCACUGGCUGUUUAUAACAAAGUCAAAGUAACUUCAUGUCUGUUACCUAAUUGAAAAUAAUUGAGGGAUGGUACACAGUGUGCCCAUCCAGCAUUCCUGCUGGAAAAAUCUGAGGAUUGCUAAACAAACAAAAAAUGCUCUUCCUCCAAAUGUAUUUUUAUGCUAAAGUCAUGUCCUUUUGAAAUUAAUUUUAGGACUUCUCUUAAAUGUGUUGUAAGUAUUUGUUCUUUUUCUACCCUAUUUUCUUUGUGAAAAAGUAUUUAAAAAUCUGCAUUGAGGUUUCAAAUGGUCUGAGAGAAGAUGUUUACAGAGUAAUAAUGCCAUUUGUAUUUGUUAUAUAUCUGAAAAUGGAAUUUCUAAUCAGACAAUAUUAAAAUAUAUUUGU